CCAGUGAGUGGCGGACGGGUGAGUAACACGUAGGUAACCUGCCCCGGAGCGGGGGAUAACAUUUGGAAACAGAUGCUAAUACCGCAUAACAACAAAAGCCACAUGGCUUUUGUUUGCAAGAUGGCUUUGGCUAUCACUCUGGGAUGGACCUGCGGUGCAUUAGCUAGUUGGUAAGGUAACGGCUUACCAAGGCGAUGAUGCAUAGCCGAGUUGAGAGACUGAUCGGCCACAAUGGAACUGAGACACGGUCCAUACUCCUACGGGAGGCAGCAGUAGGGAAUCUUCCACAAUGGGCGCAAGCCUGAUGGAGCAACACCGCGUGAGUGAAGAAGGGUUUCGGCUCGUAAAACUCUGUUGUUGUAGAAGGAC
Molecule: ribosomal RNA, 369 nt
Filed under: Limosilactobacillus sp.
Lineage: Bacteria; Bacillati; Bacillota; Bacilli; Lactobacillales; Lactobacillaceae
Description: bacterial SSU rRNA
Rfam family: Bacterial small subunit ribosomal RNA
Source: RNAcentral